AUAUCAAUAAGCGGAGGAAAAGAAACUAACAAGGAUUCCCUUAGUAACGGCGAGUGAACCGGGAAGAGCUCAAAUUUGAAAUCUGGCUGUCUUCGAUAGUCCGAGUUGUAAUCUAUAGAAGCGUUUUCCGUGCUGAACUGUGUAUAAGUGUCUUGGAACAGACUAUCAAAGAGGGUGACAAUCCCGUACUUUACACAAUCAUCAGUGCUCUGUGAUACGUUCUCUACGAGUCGAGUUGUUUGGGAAUGCAGCUCAAAAUGGGUGGUAAAUUCCAUCUAAAGCUAAAUAUUGGCGAGAGACCGAUAGCGAACAAGUACCGUGAGGGAAAGAUGAAAAGCACUUUGGAAAGAGAGUUAAACAGUACGUGAAAUUGUUAAAAGGGAAACGAUUGAAGUCAGUCGUGUUUAUUGGAUUCAGCCGGUCUUCGGUGUACUUCCUUUAAACGGGUCAACAUCAGUUUUGUCCGGUGGAUAAAGGCAGUAGGAAUGUGGCUCCCUCGGGAGUGUUAUAGCCUAUUGUCACAUACACUGGAGGAGACUGAGGACUGCAGCUCGCCUUUUUGGCCGGGGUUCGCCCACGUUCGAGCUUAGGAUGUUGACAUAA
Molecule: ribosomal RNA, 603 nt
Filed under: basidiomycete yeast sp. BG02-5-30-005A-5
Lineage: Eukaryota; Fungi; Basidiomycota
Description: eukaryotic LSU rRNA
Rfam family: Eukaryotic large subunit ribosomal RNA
Source: RNAcentral